CACGCUGUAAACGUUGGGAACUAGGUGUGGGGCCUGUCAUGGGUUCUGCGCCGGCGCUAACGCAUUAAGUUCCCCGCCUGGGGAGUACGGCCGCAAGGCUAAAACUCAAAGGAAUUGACGGGGGCCCGCACAAGCGGCGGAGCAUGCGGAUUAAUUCGAGGCAACGCGAAGAACCUUACCAAGGCUUGACAUACACCGGAAGCCGCCAGAGAUGGUGGUCUCUUUGAUACUGGUGUACAGGUGG
Molecule: ribosomal RNA, 244 nt
Filed under: uncultured Actinomycetales bacterium
Lineage: Bacteria; Bacillati; Actinomycetota; Actinomycetes; Actinomycetales
Description: partial 16S ribosomal RNA
Rfam family: Bacterial small subunit ribosomal RNA
Source: RNAcentral